This 524-nucleotide ribosomal RNA is filed under the name uncultured bacterium. RNAcentral describes it as "bacterial SSU rRNA". It matches the Rfam family "Bacterial small subunit ribosomal RNA", at positions 340 to 876 of the family's 1533-position model. The record is from RNAcentral.
UACGGGAGGCAGCAGUGGGGAAUCUUGCACAAUGGGCGAAAGCCUGAUGCAGCGACGCCGCGUGCGGGAUGAAGGCCUUCGGGUUGUAAACCGCUUUCAGCAGGGACGAGGCCGCAAGGUGACGGUACCUGCAGAAGAAGCCCCGGCUAACUACGUGCCAGCAGCCGCGGUAAUACGUAGGGGGCAAGCGUUAUCCGGAUUCAUUGGGCGUAAAGCGCGCGUAGGCGGUCUGUUAGGUCAGGAGUUAAAUCUGGGGGCUCAACCCCUAUCCGCUCCUGAUACCGGCAGGCUUGAGUCUGGUAGGGGAAGAUGGAAUUCCAAGUGUAGCGGUGAAAUGCGCAGAUAUUUGGAAGAACACCGGUGGCGAAGGCGGUCUUCUGGGCCAUGACUGACGCUGAGGCGCGAAAGCUAGGGGAGCGAACAGGAUUAGAUACCCUGGUAGUCCUAGCUGUAAACGAUGGACACUAGGUGUGGGGAGAUUAUACUUUCCGUGCCGCAGCUAACGCAUUAAGUGUCCCGCCUGG